AGGUUCUCGCCUAUAUCUGCAAUUUAUAUCUAUAUAUUAAGUUUUGUUACCUUGAACUCUUUCAAGUUUUUGUUACACAACUUUAUAUUUCAGAUUCUUUUUGUUCUUCCUUAGGUUCAAAUGUAUCAGUUGUUUUUGUUGACAGAUAUCAAGUCAUUUCAGUUCUCAAUUAUUUUGUGCACCAAGUUACAAGAAAAAAUUUAAGCAAGAGAGGUCACUACACUAAGACUUUGUCUUCUCAUAAGAAAGGAUGGCUGCCUGGUCAUGUGAUAUGUGCACUGGACUGUGUAUGGUCAUCUUGAUGCUCAUAUCUUGCCUGAUGACAUUUAUUCUGCUGAACAUUUGGUCAAGGAAGUAGAUUCUCUUCAGCUCUCAAGAAACAUUCAAAACAUGUCAAACAUUCGACAAGAAUAUCAAGUGCAAUGUACAUACCAACAUGAUGAAAAGGUAGACAACAUGAAGAUGUAGACCAACAUGAUGAAGAUGUAGACCAACAUGAAGAGGUAGACCAGCAUGAUGAAGAUGUAGACCAACAUGAUGAAGAUGUAGACCAACAUGAAGAUGAAAUGUAAACCAAAAAAUGGGUCAAGAGAUGUAUGGAAUACAAUGUGAACAUCUUGAGAAGUAAAACAAUUCCUAGAGGCAAAGACACAGACACACCAGAUCUAUUAGAGAUUUUCCUUUUCUACCAUCAUUUCCUUGUGCUCUAAGGGAAUAUGUCAUUAUCUUUUGAUUGCUAAUUGGCAUUGAUGUUUUUACAUUCCUACUGCGUCUGAAAGAAAUUAACAUUUCCCUAAUGCUACUUCAAAACCAGACCUUCUCAAGACAAUUUUAGUGACCAAGCUGCAAUAUGGGACUCAGUAGGAAACAAUGAAGAAUGCUCCUAACCUCAGGUUGAGUAACCAUGCUCACCUACUAGAGUGGCGACAAAUACUUCUACACCCACAGUUAUACAUCCUGAACCCUGUAACCCAACCUCACAACAUGGUUACAUUACCGGAAGUGGUCGCAAGGUCAGAAAACCUAACAGAUACAAUGGAUAGAACAAUGAACAGGUACAAGUACUCAAGUGAUGUACUUUGUGAGAACUAUUUAGGUGGAAUCACCAUAAUUGACUUGUAUAAAUCUUGUUCUAUAUUUAGGUAUAUCUUGACAAUCAGUCCAGUCAUUUGUUCAUUUUUUUUUUAAAUAUUCCUUUUUUUUCCCUCAAUCUUCUUGUUGUUUCAGUUACAUGUCUUUGUAUUUUGAAGGAGGAAGGUGCUUUGGUAUAUUAUCCUUAUUAUUAUUGUACCAGUAUUAAGCAAACUUGUAUAUCUUUAAUUAUUCAUGAAUUCUAAAGCAGACCGUCACUUCCACCGGAAAAUGUUGUAACAACUAUACGUGUCUUCAGUUAACAUUCAAUACUCUGUACAGUCACAACGCCAAAGCCUUGCUAGAUUAUGCUUUCGAUUCAAUUUGUUAUCUCCCCUGCUUUAGUGUGCUAUCAUAUAAUUUUUUGUGUCACAUCCCUGCACAAUUUGUUCUAUGCUUUUUUACAGUAUAAAUAGCGACUUGACAUUAUUUAGCUCUAUUAUAAUAUUGUUAUAUUAUUAUAUUUAAAAUAAAACUGUUAACAUAUUCUAUGCUGUUAUAAUAUAAAUGUUUUGCUGUUACCAUGAAUACAGUUUUGAGUUUUUGUCUGAUAUCUUAGAGGAGAAAUUUUCCAUAAAUAAUAAUAAUAAGGCUUAUCUUCAAGUCCGAAGAUUAGUGAGAAGUAUGCAGUAUUCCCCAGCUAGGACCUACAUAUUUUACUAUAAAUAAAGAGUAUAAUAAUAUUUACUACUUGGUAUUGUCAGUCUUCACUAAAGCAAUGAGUUUAUCCCCUUAGUGUGUUUAAAAUUUUCAAAUACUAAUUCACUUUGUAUUAUCUAUUGGUGAUCAUGGGGUAUCCACUUUGUCAUCUCCAUAGUCUCUGGUGUUAACACUCACUGUCCUGUUGGAGGUUACGGCUAGGAUGUAAUCUCUCUUUCUGAUGGAACACAUGUAAAACCAACAAAACAAACAUUAGACCUAGACUUUAUUAACAGGUAAAUUUUUAUAAUUGUGAACUGGCGCUCCCAAAGCUACUUUUAUGUAUUUUAAAUUUUACUUCUGCAGGCUAGUGCUAAGCUGUAUACUUGUAUUUCUGCCUAUUAUAUGGGUUAGGGUGGAGUACUUAAAAUAGAGCCUAUGCUGUUUCCUGUACUGUUGACCAGUGGUCUCUGUGUCAGUUUUAAUUAUUCUGUACCUGGGACUGCCUGUAAGUUUCAGAAUUUUUCUUUUAUUUUUUAAAAUUUUACUAUGUGUAAAUCUGUUUUAUAUUUGAACAACUGUCAAAAUAACUAGCAGUUUUUUUUUUUCUAAAGUUUGUUUUAAAAAUAUGGCCAAGCCCUGCCCAGUGCUGUCAUGAUGGCCACUUCUAAUGUUUAUGUACUAGAUUGUAACUGAAAUUAAAGUCUCAUUUGAAUUUC
Molecule: long non-coding RNA, 2489 nt
Organism: Biomphalaria glabrata
Lineage: Eukaryota; Metazoa; Mollusca; Gastropoda; Planorbidae
Exons: 4
Source: RefSeq, a predicted model, not a curated record